UUCCGACUAUUUUAUCUGUCGAAUGUAUUUAUUAUUCAACCAGAAAAUGAUUCAAACGAAUAUACGUACCCACAUAGAAGGUGACAACUUCGACGUCAUAGAAUUUGUAUCACUAUAACCACGUAGUAUGUAAUCCACGAUACAAUAUUAUAAUACUGAGAACAACAACAGCGUAAGUGAAACAAUGAAUCACAAACCUUCAAGAAUUACCGGAAAAGUAUGCUUAUAAGAGUGAAUCUUUCUCUCUGGAAUAUCAUAAUUAACUUAAAAAAGAAAUUAACUCUUCUUUGGAGCAAGCUUGGCCUUGAUGUCAUCAACCUGUUUAGUAUCAAUCUGAAAAGCCUGAGCAAGAACAUUAUCAGGCACAGUUGGUGUUGAGCUGAAAAGAGCUGCAGCUACAGAAAANGUUCCAGGAAGUUGGCUGUUGAAAGCAGAAAGCACCGAAGCAGGCUUAUCUCCACUGUUCUUCUGAUAAUGCACCAAACCUUUAGGGAACACAAAGAUUUCACCUUUCUUGAUGGACUUUGAGAUGAGUUUGUUGGCUGUGGUGAUAAACCCCACGUCUAAUUGACCAUCCAACACAAACACAAUCUCAGUGGCACGAGGGUGUGUGUGAGGUGGGUUAAGUCCCCCAGCUUUAUAGUCUAUUCUAGAGAAAGACACUCCCAAUGUGUUAAGUCCUGGGAUUUUUUCCACAUUGGCUGCAGUAACUACAGAUCCCAAUGUGUUGUUGAUAACUCCAGGUUUCGCUAAGCCAGCAAAGAAGAAAUCAGCUUCUGUCACAUUAGUCUCUGCCUUGCAGGCAAAUCCAUUCACCUUCACACCUGAAUACAAUUUAUUACACACCACUGGUUACUGCACUAUUUUCCUAGGCACAACUUUGGCAUAUUUAUUUGAACUAUAAGAGCAGAGAGAGAAACUAAAAUGGCGGUGAAUAGUAAUAUAUGCAUAUUAUUACCUGAAGAGGGAAGUGCGACACAAAGGUCUUGAAGUGUGUCAGGGUCAGAAGCGAAGGCAAAUGAGAAGGCACAACAGAAGAUGACCAAAAUUGCAUAAGUGUUUGUUGGCAACAUGGUUUGGAUUUGGAAUGAUGAUUGAGCUAUUUGCAAGGAGUGGAAACAGAAAGGGAUUUUUGAUAUGAUUAGAGAUAAUAGUGGAAUGUUUGUGUUGGAUGACUAAAAUUGUGGCAAGUUGGCCUCUUUAUAUAUGCAUUAUUUUGUAAACAGGUAGUGGUUCUAGACAUAGUAGAUGAGAACGAUGUGAUUGUAAAGCAUUUCAGUGGUCCAUAGACUUAAACUCAAAGCGAUUGUGUGUUAAGGCUUAAUGGGAAUCCUAUAAACUUUUUAUGUCUUUAUUAGAAAAGAAAAUCAUUCAUGCAAGAAAAAAUCAGCAUAUAAAUUAGGUGGUUGCUUGCGGACAAUAUGCAGACAGUGACUGUCUAAUGAAGAGGAGUUUGGUGAGAGAUGCCAGAUUAUAGUCAGAUGCAGACUUUGUCCAUGCAUUGUUGUGAAGUGAAAUAUUUAGUUUUAAAUUUAGAAGAAAGAAUGUCUAGAUUUAAGAGAAAAAGAGAAAAAGGGUGUUUGAUCAUUAAACCAAUGUAGUUAUUAUAUGAACUAAAUUAAACUUUUUGCUAAAUCAAUUCUCAAUUUAGUUAUAUUAUGUCAUCUUUUGAGUCAUUACUAAGACAGAUUAAGUUUGACUCAAUUGUCAAUCUGAACAACCUUAGGAAAUGGAUGAGAGGCAUAGGCCCCUUUAGAAGCGCGACACGCACUCCUUCAGUUCCUCUGUUGCUUUCACGGUUAGGCCCAUUUGAAAACUGAUUUUUCUAAAUUAGUCAGAUAAUAAAAAUGUGUGUGUGUGUGUGUAUAUAUAUAUAUAUAUAUAUAUAUAUAUAUAUAUAUAUAUUAACUUGAAAUGUUUUACCACAGACAUGUUGAUUUAGUAUAAAAGGAAAAAGUUAUCUCAUUCUAUCCCAGUCUAUUUUAAUCUUUUAAACAAUAAUAAUGAUUUACAGUUUCAUGUCAUUACUAUCUCCAGAUUGAAGUAGUUGGUUUUCGUUUGUCUAUGGCAGCACGUUUGUUUCGGCAAGCUGCUGCUAUUGCAGUUGUUUGGAAUGUACCAUGUUCUUAGCAGUAACGCAUCAUAUGAAAAUGAGAUGCCAAAGUUUAAACGUAACGCUUUUACCCUUCAACAUUCUACAACAACAUUUCCCUCACUAUUACCCUCAACCACCCACCUACUGCUACAAUGCAGAGGUAAAGGCAAGGACUUGGACUCUGUAUAGCAUAUAUCAGUAUAAUAUUGGUAUGAACUGUAUGAAACAAAUAAAAGCAUUGUUACUCUUAAUACUUUUGAUAAUACAUAAUAAUGAAGUAUUAACAAAGUAUCAGAAUUUAUGUAAGUGAAUCACAUUGAAAUGUGUUUGAUAGUGAAUAGAGACUUAUAUACGAAGGUACAUGCAUGUAUAAGAAAUUUCAUUGGUGAUUCAAAAUCAUCAUAAAUGCAAGUUCUUAGCAUAGAUGAGCAGAUAUUGUCAAAUAAAUCAGUACUUCUCAAUUUCGAAAGAACAGCUAGAUAAACCAAAUCAAACUAAAUACAUAUAUGCUUAAAAUCUGAGUCAAUUUCACAGGCAGUAUAGACCAACCGAUCAACACAAAUCCUAAAACUAGCGAUCGGUCAACCUAUAAUAUAGACCAACCGAUUAACACAAAUCCUGAAAGAAACAGUCAGAUAAAGCAUGUUUAUGAAACAUUGGAUCAUAACUGGACCAACUUUAACCAAAAACAUACUUCGAAAUCUAUAAAUAAAAAGAUAAUAUAAGAAGGUAUAUAUGUGUGACAUUUAUUGAACAUUUAACUUAAUUAUGAUAACCGAUCGGUAACUUGAGUACCUACUGCUCGAAUUUAGAUAAUAUGAAGGUGUAGUUCUAACCCUACGUACCGAAACAGGAAUGAUCCAAUCAAACUUAAUUGCAUGCAUGCUUAGAAAUGAACACACUGGAAAAAUGAAACUUGUGCCUACCUAUUAUUCAUAAUUUAUAAUUUCACCAGUUCAGCUGUCUUGAUGUGUUGAGAGACUCUUUGGUUUUCUUUUAUAUGUGGAUAUUUAAUUUGAUCACCGCAAAUAUUCUUUUCCACCAAAAACCACUUUACGUGUUGUCCAUCACUCCAUUUAUUUUCUAAUUACAGGGCAUGCAAUAAUGAAAUCCCUUCUGUAGGAGAAUUUUCUCUGCAACAUAAAACCAUUGAUCACAUUCUCUCUUUAACAACUAUUAUUGGAAUAAGUAAUUAAUGGUUCAGAUUUUGUAGGACUGAAGAGAAGUUUGACUAGAGAGGUCCUAAGUUAAGAAGGAUAUUUGAAUGCCUCCAAUUAUAAGAUGUCUGACGUCUUACCAGACUGAUUUAACUACUAACCAACAUGAAAGAGAAAGUGAGGUGGUAAAGGUCCAACCUUUAUUGAUAUGUGUUUACAAAAUAAUGAAUCACAAAACCAAGAAAUGAGUGUACCAAGGGUGACACCUUCUACUACAUAUUCCGUGUUACAACAUGCUCAAUGCCACAUAAACGAGGAAAGGGCACCUGAUAAAGGAAAAAUAAUAACAAGGAAAGCGCAACACCAUAACAGAUACAACCAAUCAUAUCUCUCUCUCUUGAAUAUCAUUAAGCUCGAUUUAAAAAUCAAGUCUUCUUAGGAGCAAGCUUGGCCUUGAUGUCAUCAACCUGUUUAGUAUCAAUCUGAAAAGCCUGAGCAAGAACAUUAUCAGGCACAGUUGGUGUUGAGCUGAAAAGAGCUGCAGCUACAGAAAAUGUUCCAGGAAGUUGGCUGUUGAAAGCAGAAAGCACNGAAGCAGGCUUAUCUCCACUGUUCUUCUGAUAGUGCACCAAACCUUUAGGGAACACAAAGAUUUCACCUUUCUUGAUGGACUUUGAGAUGAGUUUGUUGGCUGUGGUGAUAAACCCCACGUCUAAUUGACCAUCCAACACAAACACAAUCUCAGUGGCACGAGGGUGUGUGUGAGGUGGGUUAAGUCCCCCAGCUUUAUAGUCUAUUCUAGAGAAAGACACUCCCAAUGUGUUAAGUCCUGGAAUUUUUUCCACAUUGGCUGCAGUAACCACAGAUCCCAAUGUGUUGUUGAUUACUCCAGAUUUGGCUAAGCCAGCAAAGAAGAAAUCAGCUUCUGUUACAUUUGCCUCAGCCUUGCAUUCAAAUCCGUUCACCUUCACACCUGCACAUAAUUAAUUCACACUUGUACUAUUUUCCUAAACACAACUUUGGCACAUUUAUUUGAACUAUAUGAUAGCAGAAUGAGAAAAGAAAUUGUGAAUGGUUAGGCAUGGUACCUGAAGAGGGAAGUGCCACACAAAUGUCUUGAAGUGUGUCAGGGUCAGAAGCAAAAGCAAAGGAGAUGGCAGAGCUGAAGAUGACAAAAAUUGCCAAAGUGUUUGUCAGUGACAUGUUUUGGAUGAUAAUAGUUAUGUCAAUGAGUGAAAACAGGAAGAAUUUAUGUAGCAAGAGAUAAGAGAGGAAGGUUUUAUAUAGUUGGUGAGAAAU
Molecule: long non-coding RNA, 4551 nt
Filed under: Vigna radiata
Lineage: Eukaryota; Viridiplantae; Streptophyta; Magnoliopsida; Fabales; Fabaceae
Description: long non-coding RNA (VRAD_LNC009068)
Source: RNAcentral